CUUGAAAAUAAAAAUUAAUUAAUUGGGUAUGAGAACAAAAUAUAAACAUGCAAAAGAGAUUAAUUCAAUUGACGAGAAGAACACGAUGGAUGAAUGGAGUUGUUGGGGGUUUACAAUUUCAUCUUAUCCGCUCUCUCUUAUUUACUUCUCUUGAUUUAUUUACUUGAUUAACUAAUUGUUAUGAAACUUUCUUGGCCUCCCUUAACCCGAUCCCUCGACGAAAAGAGCCUAUUACUAAUUACUAGUUUGUUAUCCCUAGCCUCCCCUAGCAAUUAAUAAUGCAUUAUAGAGCAGAAGUGAAAAACAAUUGUGUUAGCAGAAUUAAAAGAUGAAGUUUUGAUGAUGAACAGAUUUGCACAAGACAAGAUUCACAAAGAAGGAUGGAAGAUCUCCGCAUUUUAUAAAGCUUUGUUAAUAAUAAAAAAUGAUGUAAUAGUGCUCUAAAAUGUAUUAGGGUUGAUUCUUGUGGUUUAUAUGUAAUUUAUUUUUAUUGAGAAUCUUCC
Molecule: long non-coding RNA, 503 nt
Filed under: Vigna radiata
Lineage: Eukaryota; Viridiplantae; Streptophyta; Magnoliopsida; Fabales; Fabaceae
Description: long non-coding RNA (VRAD_LNC017172)
Source: RNAcentral